AGGAUGAACGCUGGCGGUCUGCUUAACACAUGCAAGUCGAACGGAGUACCUCGGUACUUAGUGGCGGACGGGUGAGUAACGCGUGAGAAUCUGCCCUUAGGUCGGGGACAACCAUUGGAAACGAUGGCUAAUACCGGAUAAGCCGAGAGGUAAAAGAUUAAUUGCCUAGGGAAGAGCUCGCGUCUGAUUAGCUAGUUGGUGAGGUAAAGGCUCACCAAGGCAUCGAUCAGUAGCUGGUCUGAGAGGAUGAUCAGCCACACUGGGACUGAGACACGGCCCAGACUCCUACGGGAGGCAGCAGUGGGGAAUUUUCCGCAAUGGGCGAAAGCCUGACGGAGCAAGACCGCGUGAGGGAGGAAGGCUCUUGGGUUGUAAACCUCUUUCUUGGGAAGAACAAAUGACGGUACCCAAGGAAUCAGCAUCGGCUAACUCCGUGCCAGCAGCCGC
RNAcentral lists this ribosomal RNA (447 nucleotides) under uncultured bacterium. RNAcentral's name for it is "SSU rRNA". It matches the Rfam family "Bacterial small subunit ribosomal RNA", at positions 26 to 518 of the family's 1533-position model. The record is from RNAcentral.